Molecule: ribosomal RNA, 579 nt
Filed under: uncultured eukaryote
Lineage: Eukaryota
Description: SSU rRNA
Rfam family: Eukaryotic small subunit ribosomal RNA
Source: RNAcentral
CUCAUAGCGUAUAUUUAAGUUGUUGCAGUUAAAAAGCUCGUAGUCGGAUUUUGGCUGAGAACGAACGGUCCGCCGUUAGGUGUGCACUGUUUGGUCUCAGCUUCCUGGUGAGGAGGUGUGCUUCACGGCCACUUAGUCACCGUGGUUACUUUGAAAAAAUUAGAGUGUUCAAAGCGGGCUUACGCUCGAAUAUAUUAGCAUGGAAUAACACCAUAGGGCUCCUGUCCUAUUUCGUUGGUCUCGGGACGGGAGUAAUGAUUAAGAGGAACAGUUGGGGGCAUUCGUAUUUCAUUGUCAGAGGUGAAAUUCUUGGAUUUAUGAAAGACGAACUUCUGCGAAAGCAUUUGCCAAGGAUGUUUUCAUUGAUCAAGAACGAAAGUUGGGGGCUCGAAGAUGAUUAGAUACCAUCCUAGUCUCAACCAUAAACGAUGCCGACUAGGGAUUGGCGGAUGUUAAUUGAUGACUUCGCCAGCACCUUAUGAGAAAUCAAAGUUUUUGGGUUCCGGGGGGAGUAUGGUCGCAAGGCUGAAACUUAAAGGAAUUGACGGAAGGGCACCACCAGGCGUGGAGCCUGCGGCU